RNAcentral lists this ribosomal RNA (253 nucleotides) under uncultured bacterium. RNAcentral describes it as "partial 16S ribosomal RNA". It matches the Rfam family "Bacterial small subunit ribosomal RNA", at positions 524 to 775 of the family's 1533-position model. The record is from RNAcentral.
UACGGAGGGUGCGAGCGUUGUCCGGAAUCACUGGGCGUAAAGGGCGCGUAGGUGGCCCGUUAAGUGGCUGGUGAAAUCCCGCGGCUCAACUGCGGGGCUGCCGGUCAUACUGGCCGAGCUAGAGCACGGUAGGGGCAGAUGGAAUUCCCGGUGUAGCGGUGGAAUGCGUAGAGAUCGGGAAGAAUACCAGUGGCGAAGGCGUUCUGCUGGGCCGUUGCUGACACUGAGGCGCGACAGCGUGGGGAGCAACAGG